UCUCUCUCUUUCUCUCUCGUGCCCCUUGGUUAGGGAUGGUCCCCUUCUCUAGCUCAAAGCAGGUCUACCCUCAUGACCCUUCGAGUAGGGCUAUAGAUAGUUUUGCAUUGGUUUUGUUUGCUUGUAGGUGGGCAGCUCAUUAGGGAGGGCUAUCUUAUACCUUACCUGUAAUGGAACAUGUAAUGGCUUUGGUUCCAAGUUUAGUGAUGGUAGGGCUCUCUUGCUGUGGCUGCUAAUUUACUAGUGUGUUGGGUUGGGUUGGGUUGGUGACUAUUUUCUUUUGGCCCAAGAUUUGCUGGGAUUGUAGGGUCCUCCAUUUAGUCUACGUGGUACCUCUUGGGGAUGCUAUCAAUGCCACUAUCUUGGGCAUCCGGUCUUUUAAUGGCCAGAGAUGCAAAAGAGUCUUGUCUUGCACUCCUAUGCUCCCCUUAGCUUGGAUCUGUUAUGAUACAAAUUCUGGGCCAGAUCAAUACUAGGACUUGGGUCAGCAUAAGGCCCCCAAAGUCCGUAGUAAGCUUAUUAUUCUCUAGCCCAAUUUUAAAACUCAUAUCCAAGCCCAUUUUCAAGAAAUUAACUGGACAGAGUCUAGCCAUAAACUGGACUUUACAAUAGGAAGUUUUUAGCUCGCUCGACCUGUGAUCCCAUUAUAUAUAAAUAUGGGAAGCUCAGCUCACCCUCACAAUCUACAAUCAAUCAGUUUAAUCAAAUGGGAGCUUAGUUCCUUAUCCAACACAUAUAUCUAUUCCAUUCAACCAUACACACAUGAUAUUAAGUUUACAACCUCAAUUAAUAAUCUUUUACAGCCCCAAAUCAAUAAAAUGUUUCUAGCAUAUGUGGAGUUCUAAAAUUUAAAUCAAUAACAUAACAUAAGUAUAAAUACAAUGACUAGUAGACCUGUAAAGUGGCAUUCUAGGAAAAUUUACAAUAUAAAAAAGAGCAGAUAGCCUUAUAUAAUUGUGGUAAUGCGAUAGAUAUAGUACCUCUCUUGCAGUCAGUUAUGCUGCAGAGUAUGAUAAUAUUUUCUCAGGAGAGACAGAAGAGUAUCACUAAUAUAAUGAUCUAUGGAAUGAUGUCCUAAAUGGGACUAUAGUGUGAUAGGAAAUAGUCAGCUCAGGUACCCUCUUAGGGAGAGUACAAUUUUCAUUGUAAGGAUCAUAAGAGAUCAGAUCAUAAUGGAUGCAGAGCUUUUGAGAAGCAAGGGAAAAAGGAAAUCCCAUAGAUUCCCUACCUAAGGUAUUAGGGGGUAGUUGUAGCUAAGCAGAGGAAAGGACAAUGACUGCAAGUCAACGAGAAUAAGUCAUAGAAUGUCAAUAGAUAAAAGGAGUUAUAGAAAUGAAAAUUUGGAUAGUUGGUUUCAGAUGUAACAAGAAAGAAAUUCGAAUGGCAGUGGAAAUGCUAAUCAGAGUGGUCGAAAGAUCAAUUUUGAGCAAUACAAAGAUGAAGAUGACCUAGCAGAGACACUAAAAGGUACAGUUAUCUAGCAUAGCUGUCAAGUCAAGAAGAAGAAUGGAGCUGAGGAAUAAAGUAAUCAAAGUUCUAUUUUGGGUAAGAUAAAAGAGAUGAAUUAAAGAGCAAACCGAAUAGCCAAGAAUAGGAAAAGAUUACGAAGAAAAAAGUGAGAUAUAAAGUACAUAAAGUGCCAUCUUGGGAACAGGAAUAGACAAAGUUUUAUCCAUAUCUUGCAACUCUGAACUCUAUGUUUUGGCUCCUGACACUGCCCGAACUAUGACUUGCUCCAAGUCCUAUACUUCUAGAUC
RNAcentral lists this unclassified non-coding RNA (1757 nucleotides) under Hevea brasiliensis (rubber tree). The record is from RNAcentral. Lineage: Eukaryota; Viridiplantae; Streptophyta; Magnoliopsida; Malpighiales; Euphorbiaceae.